UCCGGUUGAUCCUGCCGGAGGCCACUGCUAUGGGGGUCCGACUAAGCCAUGCGAGUCAUGGGGCGCCUUGCGCGCACCGGCGGACGGCUCAGUAACACGUCGGUAACCUACCCUCGGGAGGGGGAUAACCCCGGGAAACUGGGGCUAAUCCCCCGUAGGCCUGAGGUACUGGAAGGUCCUCAGGCCGAAAGGGUCUUUGACCGCCCGAGGAUGGGCCGGCGGCCGAUUAGGUAGUUGGUGGGGUAACGGCCCACCAAGCCGAAGAUCGGUACGGGCCAUGAGAGUGGGAGCCCGGAGAUGGACACUGAGACACGGGUCCAGGCCCUACGGGGCGCAGCAGGCGCGAAACCUCCGCAAUGCUCGAAAGAGCGACGGGGGGACCCCCAGUGCCGUGGCAUCGCCACGGCUUUUCCGGAGUGUAAAGAGCUCCGGGAAUAAGGGCUGGGCAAGGCCGGUGGCAGCCGCCGCGGUAAUACCGGCGGCCCGAGUGGUGGCCGCUAUUAUUGGGCCUAAAGCGUCCGUAGCCGGGCCAGUAAGUCCCUGGCGAAAUCCCACGGCUCAACCGUGGGGCUUGCUGGGGAUACUGCUGGCCUUGGGACCGGGAGAGGCGGAGGGUACUCCUGGGGUAGGGGUGAAAUCCUAUA
This 644-nucleotide ribosomal RNA is filed under the name uncultured archaeon. RNAcentral describes it as "bacterial SSU rRNA". It matches the Rfam family "Archaeal small subunit ribosomal RNA", at positions 1 to 644 of the family's 1478-position model. The record is from RNAcentral.